UACGUAGGGGGCUAGCGUUGUCCGGAUUUAUUGGGCGUAAAGAGCGUGUAGGCGGCCAUGUAGGUCCGGUGUGAAAACUCGAGGCUUAACCUCGAGAUGUCAUCGGAAACCAUUUGGCUAGAGUCCGGAAGAGGAGAGUGGAAUUCCUGGUGUAGCGGUGAAAUGCGCAGAUAUCAGGAAGAACACCAAUGGCGAAAGCAGCUCUCUGGGACGGUACUGACGCUGAGACGCGAAAGCGUGGGGAGCAAACGGG
RNAcentral lists this ribosomal RNA (253 nucleotides) under uncultured bacterium. RNAcentral describes it as "partial 16S ribosomal RNA". It matches the Rfam family "Bacterial small subunit ribosomal RNA", at positions 524 to 776 of the family's 1533-position model. The record is from RNAcentral.